ACUCUAAGCGGUGGAUCACUCGGCUCAUGGGUCGAUGAAGAACGCAGCAAACUGUGCGUCAUCGUGUGAACUGCAGGACACAUGAACAUCGACAUUUUGAACGCAUAUCGCAGUCCAUGCUGUUAUGUACUUUAAUUAAUUUUAAAGUGCUGCUUGGACUACAUAUGGUUGAGGGUUGUAAGACUAUGCAAAAUAAGUUGUUCAUAAAUUUCAUUUCAUGAUUUUUAUAAGCACAUGGUAUAUUAUUGGGUAUAAUAAUUAUUAAUUGUUAUAUUCAUAAUAUUAAAAAUUAUAUGAAAAACAUUAUUCUCACAUUGUUGUAAAUAUUUGAAUGUGAAAACGAAGAGAAAUAUUUUCUUUUUUUUUAAAUCAAAUAAUACUGAGAAAUGUCUAGCAUAAAAAAUGUGAAAAUAUUUUUCAUCUAGAAUUGUCUCUUAUUAAUGAUGCAAAAAAUCGAAAAAUGUUGCUAAUGUUAUUAUUCUUCGUUUGGUUUGUUAAAAAAUAUAACAAAUUUAAAUAUAUAAUGUUUUCUCUAUAUAAAAAGAAUUAAUGCUAAUAAAUGUUUUAUACAACCUCAACUCAUAUGGGACUACCCCCUGAAUUUAAGCAUAUUAAUUAGGGGAGGAAAAGAAACUAACAAGGAUUUUCUUAGUAGCGGCGAGCGAAAAGAAAUCAGUUCAGCACUAAGUCACUUUGUCUAUAUGGCAAAUGUGAGAUGCAGUGUAUGGAGCGUCAAUAUUCUAGUAUGAGAAAUUAACGAUUUAAGUCCUUCUUAAAUGAGGCCAUUUACCCAUAGAGGGUGCCAGGCCCGUAUAACGUUAAUGAUUACUAGAUGAUGUUUCCAAAGAGUCGUGUUGCUUGAUAGUGCAGCACUAAGUGGGUGGUAAACUCCAUCUAAAACUAAAUAUAACCAUGAGACCGAUAGUAAACAAGUACCGUGAGGGAAAGUUGAAAAGAACUCUGAAUAGAGAGUUAAACAGUACGUGAAACUGCUUAGAGGUUAAGCCCGAUGAACCUGAAUAUCCGUUAUGGAAAAUUCAUCAUUAGACUUGUAGUAUUUAAACAAUAUUAUGAUAAUAGUGUGCAUUUUUUCCAUAUAAGGACAUUGUAAUCUAUUAACAUAACUAAAUUUAUCAUAAAAUAUGGCUUAUAGUUUAUUCAAAUUAUUAUGCUUGCAUUUUAACAUAGAAUAAAUGUCAUUAAUUUGAUAAAGUGCUGAUAGAUUUAUAUGACUACAGUGCGUUAAUUUUUCGGAAUUAUAUAAUGGCAUAAUUAUCAUUGAUUUUUGUGUUUAUUAUAUGCACUUGUACGAUUAACAAUGCGAAAGAUUCAGGAUACCUUCGGGACCCGUCUUGAAACACGGACCAAGGAGUCUAACAUAUGUGCAAGUUAUUGGGAUAUAAACCUAAUAGCGUAAUUAACUUGACUAAUAAUGGGAUUAGUUUUUUAACUAUUUAUAGCUAAUUAACACAAUCCCGGGGCGUUCUAUAUAGUUAUGUAUAAUAAUAUUUAUAUUAUUUAUGCCUCUAACUGGAACGUACCUUGAGCAGAUAUGCUGUGACCCGAAAGAUGGUGAACUAUACUUGAUCAGGUUGAAGUCAGGGGAAACCCUGAUGGAAGACCGAAACAGUUCUGACGUGCAAAUCGAUUGUCAGAAUUGAGUAUAGGGGCGAAAGACCAAUCGAACCAUCUAGUAGCUGGUUCCUUCCGAAGUUUCCCUCAGGAUAGCUGGUGCAUUUUAAUGUUAUAUAAAAUAAUCUUAUCUGGUAAAGCGAAUGAUUAGAGGCCUUAGGGUCGAAACGAUCUUAACCUAUUCUCAAACUUUAAAUGGGUAAGAACCUUAACUUUCUUGAUAUGAAGUUUAAGGUUAUGAUAUAAUGUGCCCAGUGGGCCACUUUUGGUAAGCAGAACUGGCGCUGUGGGAUGAACCAAACGUAAUGUUACGGUGCCCAAAUUAACAACUCAUGCAGAUACCAUGAAAGGCGUUGGUUGCUUAAAACAGCAGGACGGUGAUCAUGGAAGUCGAAAUCCGCUAAGGAGUGUGUAACAACUCACCUGCCGAAGCAACUAGCCCUUAAAAUGGAUGGCGCUUAAGUUGUAUACCUAUACAUUACCGCUAAAGUAGAUGAUUUAUAUUACUUGUAAUAUAAAUUUUGAAACUUUAGUGAGUAGGAAGGUACAAUGGUAUGCGUAGAAGUGUUUGGCGUAAGCCUGCAUGGAGCUGCCAUUGGUACAGAUCUUGGUGGUAGUAGCAAAUAAUCGAAUGAGACCUUGGAGGACUGAAGUGGAGAAGGGUUUCGUGUGAACAGUGGUUGAUCACGAGUUAGUCGGUCCUAAGUUCAAGGCGAAAGCCGAAAAUUUUCAAGUAAUAAAAUGACUAUAUAUUACAAAAAUGCCAAUUAAUAUACUUGAAUAAUUUUGAACGAAAGGGAAUACGGUUCCAAUUCCGUAACCUGUUGAGUAUCCGUUUGUUAUUAAAUAUGGGCCUCGUGCUCAUCCUGGCAACAGGAACGACCAUAAAGAAGCCGUCGAGAGAUAUCGGAAGAGUUUUCUUUUCUGUUUUAUAGCCGUACUACCAUGGAAGUCUUUCGCAGAGAGAUAUGGUAGAUGGGCUAGAAGAGCAUGACAUAUACUGUUGUGUCGAUAUUUUCUCCUCGGACCUUGAAAAUUUAUGGUGGGGAUACGCAAACUUCUCAACAGGCCGUACCAAUAUCCGCAGCUGGUCUCCAAGGUGAAGAGUCUCUAGUCGAUAGAAUAAUGUAGGUAAGGGAAGUCGGCAAAUUAGAUCCGUAACUUCGGGAUAAGGAUUGGCUCUGAAGAUUGAGAUAGUCGGGCUUGAUUGGGAAACAAUAACAUGGUUUAUGUGCUCGUUCUGGGUAAAUAGAGUUUCUAUCAUUUAUGUUAGUUGCUUGUUCCCCGGAUAGUUUAGUUACGUAGCCAAUUGUGGAACUUUCUUGCUAAAAUUUUUAAGAAUACUAGUUGGGUCAAACCAAUUAGUUCUUAUUAAUUAUAACGAUUAUCAAUUAACAAUCAAUUCAGAACUGGCACGGACUUGGGGAAUCCGACUGUCUAAUUAAAACAAAGCAUUGUGAUGGCCCUAGCGGGUGUUGACACAAUGUGAUUUCUGCCCAGUGCUCUGAAUGUCAAAGUGAAGAAAUUCAAGUAAGCGCGGGUCAACGGCGGGAGUAACUAUGACUCUCUUAAGGUAGCCAAAUGCCUCGUCAUCUAAUUAGUGACGCGCAUGAAUGGAUUAACGAGAUUCCUACUGUCCCU
This 3273-nucleotide ribosomal RNA is filed under the name Drosophila serrata. Its description in RNAcentral is "eukaryotic LSU rRNA". The stretch from base 570 to 3273 matches the Rfam family "Eukaryotic large subunit ribosomal RNA", at positions 1 to 2346 of the family's 3401-position model. Lineage: Eukaryota; Metazoa; Arthropoda; Insecta; Diptera; Drosophilidae. The record is from RNAcentral.